GACGAACGCUGGCGGCGUGCUUAACACAUGCAAGUCGAACGGAAAGGCCCUGCUUUUGUGGGGUGCUCGAUUGGCGAACGGGUGAGUAACACGUGAGUAACCUGCCCUUGACUUUGGGAUAACUUCAGGAAACUGGGGCUAAUACCGGAUAGGAGCUCCUGCUGCAUGGUGGGGGUUGGAAAGUUUCGGCGGUUGGGGCUGGACUCGCGGCUUAUCAGCUUGUUGGUGGGGUAGUGGCUUCCCAAGGCUUUGAAGGGUAGCCGGCCUGAGAGGGUGACCGGCCACCUGGGGCCUGAGAUAGGGACCAGAAGGCAACGGGCGGCAGCAGGGGGGAAUAUUGCGCAAUGGGGGGGAGCGUGUUGCAGCGACGCCGCGUGCGGGAUAACGUCCUUCGGGUGGUAAACCAAUGUGGCCGGUGACGAGGCGGGAGUGACGGUAAUGGGUAAAGAAGCACCGGCUAACUACGUG
This 468-nucleotide ribosomal RNA is filed under the name uncultured bacterium. RNAcentral describes it as "partial 16S ribosomal RNA". It matches the Rfam family "Bacterial small subunit ribosomal RNA", at positions 28 to 507 of the family's 1533-position model. The record is from RNAcentral.